GACGAACGCUGGCGGCGUGCCUAAUACAUGCAAGUCGAGCGGACUGAAUGGGAGCUUGCUCUUGUUCGGUCAGCGGCGGACGGGUGAGUAACACGUGGGCAACCUGCCCGCAAGACCGGGAUAACUCCGGGAAACCGGAGCUAAUACCGGAUAACACCGAAGACCGCAUGGUCUUUGGUUGAAAGGCGGCGCAAGCUGCCACUUGAGGAUGGGCCCGCGGCGCAUUAGCUAGUUGGUGAGGUAACGGCUCACCAAGGCGACGAUGCGUAGCCGGCCUGAGAGGGUGAGCGGCCACACUGGGACUGAGACACGGCCCAGACUCCUACGGGAGGCAGCAGUAGGGAAUCUUCCGCAAUGGGCGAAAGCCUGACGGAGCGACGCCGCGGGAGCGAAGAAGGCCGUCGGGUCGUAAAGCUCUGUUGUGAGGGACGAAGGAGCGCCGUUUGAAGAAGGCGGCGCGGUGACGGUACCUCACGAGGAAGCCCCGGCUAACUACGUG
RNAcentral lists this ribosomal RNA (499 nucleotides) under uncultured bacterium. Its description in RNAcentral is "partial 16S ribosomal RNA". It matches the Rfam family "Bacterial small subunit ribosomal RNA", at positions 28 to 507 of the family's 1533-position model. The record is from RNAcentral.